Molecule: non-coding RNA, 216 nt
Filed under: Rhodotorula mucilaginosa
Lineage: Eukaryota; Fungi; Basidiomycota; Microbotryomycetes; Sporidiobolales; Sporidiobolaceae
Source: RNAcentral
CAGGAAAGUCCUAUGUGUAUAUAUAUCCUCUUAGGAACAACUAAAGUUGUGACAAGGUUUACAGAAAUAUCACGCUGUAACUCCAGUAGUUAGUUUCAGUGGCGCACUUCAUGUCAUCUCUCACUUACACUGUGAUGAGGUAUACACUUAAAUAAUCAGUAAAUGUUGUACUUUAUCAACCAACUAGUAGUGUUACUAGUACAGAAUUAGGCUUAU